This is a non-coding RNA of Nicotiana tabacum (common tobacco), 464 nucleotides long. NCBI's taxonomy places the organism in Eukaryota, Viridiplantae, Streptophyta, Magnoliopsida, Solanales, Solanaceae. The record is from RefSeq and is a predicted model, not a curated record.
CGUUGAAAAAGAGUAAAGAAAAGACUUUUUUUCAAAAGAAAGAGGAAAGAUUGUUUUAAAAAGAAAUAUUCUGGUGAGAUUAAGAAAAGGAGCUUUCCGUUUGUGGCUUUUGAUUCGAGGUUUGGGUUUGUUAAUUUUGGUGUUGCAAUUCAAGGGUUGUCGCUUUGUUUAGCCGAUUGAUUUGCAAUCUUCGGAUUUGUUCAUCAAUAAAAGAUCCAGGUACCGUCCAGCAUUAGAGACUUUAGUAGCUAUCAUUCAUCACUCGGAGACACGAGGUAGAUCUGCUAGCAUCCGCAGAAUUCCUGGAGUCUUCUCUUAGUUUUAUAGAGACUGUUUAUUUUACUCAAAACAGAUGCAUUAUUUCUUUCAGCCCAUUAUAUGUAGUAUUCUUAGAAGUUCGUAAAUUGUGACACCAAAUCCUAGGGUAGUCUUAGAGUUAUAUAUUUAAUUUGUGGCUUGGUUUA